UUCGACCCCACAGAGAUGUGUAUUUUUGGUGUACAUAGUGGAGAGUUGGGUUGAGGUCUUCAUUCAUCAAGUAAUUAACCUUCUGCGUAUGGUAAUAAAAGCCCCCCCUCUCAUCGCCUCCGUAGUUUAUUCGUAUUUGUUGUUCUAAACAUUGCCAGAAAUUUCUGUGGGGGAAGAAACAAGGCUUUCAUAUCAUAGUGAAAGAAAGGAAAGGAAAAAAAAAGAGGUCUAUUUCAUUCGUUUUGUUUUCCUUUUCUUGGGGUUCUUUUUCCACCUGGGUUCUUGUAAAAAUCAAGUGGGUAAUUGUUGUAAUUGCGAGGAGUUCCCCCCUUGUUUGUUUUCCUGGAAAUUUUUUCCACCUAAGUACUUAACCAAAUUGCUGUUCAUUUCCUACGAGAAGUUGUACAUUUGCACCUGUUUUAAUUGAGCCAAGGUUCAAUCAAGUGAGUGGAAAAAGUAGAGCAUGAUCAUAGCGUGGAGAUUUGGAAUUUUGGAAGCAUUCAAAUUGAGGACUUUGAACACUUUAGUGAAAUCAUUGUUGUUUCUCCAAGUAAUUUUGCUUUGCCUUCCAGGACGACAAUAGUGAUUUAGAUUAUGAGUUGGAAGCUCUCCCCCUGUUAGUAGUGAAGUUUCAACAGAGGCUGCUGCUUGUGUGAAGAGGAAUCUGUAAUGCUGAUUUGAUAUAUGACCAUCCCUCUCUUUGGGAUGAGGCUAGACAUUUGGCUUUUCUGAGUAAUUUCGAGGAUUGGCGUUCAUUUGUACCUUCCUACAUGUUGGGUCAAUAUUGUGCUGCUAUCAGUGGCAUUAAUCUGCCUUGGAAUGCUGGGUCCUGGACGCACUUUGUUCCUCCCCAAUCCUCUUUUAUGUCGUGUCUCAAUAAUAAGUUAUACAACGAAACACCCGAGGACCUUGUGAGGUUCCUGCGAAAUUGUGCGGGUCAUAUCGCCAGAUAUUCUAGAGAUGGCCGGAAGUUUAACCAACUCACCCUUGAAGCAAGGAUGCAGUACCUUUUCCCAAUGCAUCUCGUGGAGUUGGUAUCCCGGCUCUACAGGAUAGGCUUUUCCUCCACUUUCUUCACGUUAUGAAACACCUUUCUUACCAAUUUUAAGGUCAUGUGUUUUGCCACGAGGGACCUAAACCUGGUUUUAUGGCGGAGGGUGCAACCUUGGAGACUGUUAUGUUAACUCCUAUUCCUUAUGAUGUCGGCAAUGAUCUCAAGGGUGGCUACUAUGUUUACUUCUGGAUUUUUUCUUUUGCUUGGUUUAUGUGCUGUGAACAUCUAAACCUUGAAUUUCAUGUGCUGAUUUUGUUUCUAGUAGUUGGUUUAAAGGAGUUGUUAUGGUUUACAUCAGUGGGCACUGGUGUUUUGUUUAAUUUUUGGAUGUUGAAGAGUCAGAUUACUAGGGUGAAUAUUUUCUUCUAGAAUGACGAAAGUUUGAUGGAUUAUGCAAAUUUGUCACUCCCAGCUCACAACAUAUUGCAAAA
Molecule: long non-coding RNA, 1485 nt
Organism: Rhododendron vialii
Lineage: Eukaryota; Viridiplantae; Streptophyta; Magnoliopsida; Ericales; Ericaceae
Exons: 3
Source: RefSeq, a predicted model, not a curated record